AAGCGCGAGGCUAGGCAUUCCUAAAGCUUCCUUCGAACGGUGUAGGCUGUGUUUUUCUUGCGAUUCGAAGAGACUCCCGUCCUCCACAGCAAGAAUCACGAGUUAGAUACAGUCUCACCGUUUGAGAUGGCAUUGGGAUGGGCGAAGGGUGCAGCAGUUUCUGGUGGCCUCGGGGAUACCUUGGGAACCAAGACCUCGUGCUCACGAGCCUGUAUGCCUAUCGUCGGUGUGGUUUGUAGACUGUAUCGAAACCAAAGUUAUCCUUUUCAAAUAAUUCCAUUAAGUACCUUAGAAGCAGAGAUUGAGACUAUCGGAUUAAAUGUCGAGCUUGACGUCAUUGGAAAUAUCCAAGAUUAAUUCGGACUUCAUUUGGUUUAUUUACGAUAGAAUACUUGUACCUGAAUUUAUUUACUAUUUAAGUAAAUACACUUUAAACUGUUGAAAUUUAAUUUGCUCAAUGCCGGUUUGGGCUAACAAUGGGUAACGUGUUACAUUUAUAUUUCAGUCACGUAUACUGUACUAUUUACAAUUAUUUAUGCAAUUCGUAUUGAAUUUUUGUACCUAUCAGAGAUCACUUUAUAGACGGAGAAGAAGAAAAGCUAAGAGGAAAGAAUAAAGAAUUAUUUUUAUAGAAAAUAAUCUACCCCGAUACUUGAAAUUUAAUUCGUUAACUGUUAAUACGGCAAGAUUACGAUUUCCGUGGCGCCAAGGUUGACGGUUGACUAUUGUUGUAUACGAUGUGAACGAACAUCAUCUCAAAGGAAAAGUUGAUAUCUCAAUUGGUUUGGAAGAUAUUUUUUUUUUUUCAUUUUGGAUGUAGUUGCGAGUGAUCGACAACCAUUUUUUUUUUGUAAGGAAUUUUCUAUAAAAUUGCUUAUAUGUAUUUUUUUUUGUAUCUGUCAUAGUUUGAGAUAUUGCGAGUCGAAUUUCGAAGGAACGUGUAUCUCGCACAGUGUUCAAGAUAUAAACAAAAAAUGAAAAUAGUUAAUAUCUCCCAAACUAAUUGAGAUAUCAACUUUUCCUCUUAGAUGUUUGCUCAUAUCAUACGCAACCAUAACCAACUGUCAAACCUUGGCGCCGCGGAAACCGUAGUAUCCCCAUUAAUACCAUAAAUCCUUUUCAGUCGAACGUUCGUCCUAGAAUCCUAUCGUGAGCCGGAGACCCCAAUGCGAUAGAUGCGCGAGCCAUCUACUGCGAGGAGUGGCGUCAUUGGCCCGUUUCAUGCGCUGUAAGGUUGAAAAUAUUUCAUAUUCGGGGGCAAGGAGAGAAGGUCUGUUUCUAGAAGGCCAUAAGAGGUGCAACCCUGGCUAUGGCGUACGUUGGUCGCACAGGCAUCGAUCACUUCGCACACCUUUGCACCUCCUUUCCGCAAACGGGCCCGCUCGUCGUUAAGUCACCUUCCGCAAAGAAAGCCAUGACACUGCUCGAAGAAGUAUUCAGGCGGUGAGCUGAUCGUUUUACUUGACCUCGCAGAAAAAGUGUGCUUCCUCAGGUCCGGAAGAAUCCACGGGCCAAGCGGUAUUUUCAAGGCCUCGCCCUCGAAGUUAACGGGAGCCCGUCUCUGUCCCUGGGUUCAUCCCAAAAUGACAACGCUCACCCAACACCGAAGCAGAUUUUGAAACAUUGGUUACGGAGCCACCCAAAGAUCGUUCUCAUCCCCCGAUUGCUCUAGGAAAUAGAAUUCUCCAGGUAUGGAGGUAUUGCAUGUCUCGCAAGAAAAAUGAUCAAAACGAGUAGCGUGUUCCGAGCUUGAUGUACCGAACGCAUCCGAACGGUGAUACGAUGGUGCAUUUACAAGCACGACCUGGGAGUCAUUUUUCAAUGGAAAGAGGAAAACGACUACAUGCGAAUACAUUAGACGUACGCUCGCUGCCUUCGGGCUCGGAAUAACCGUGUUUUCACAGAUGCAUUCGAGAGAGAAAGAGAGAGGUGUUGCGUUUAACUGCACAAGGGGGAGAAUGUCGAGGUGUCCACAUGACCCUUCUCACGGUCGCGGCAAUUAGACAGAUACGCGCGAGCAUUUCUUUUAGGUAGAAGAAAGCUGUUUGCCGGGACACCGAAGAGAGGUACGAUUUACGUUAAAGGAAACGCUUCCUGAAGAUUAUUAGCGUUAAUGUAUCAUGUACGAGGGGCUGGGGGGAAGUUGAAAAAUUCUUUUCGCUUCAGCGUAGCGCAGAACCGGUGCCCAUGGACCCUUGGCUUCUCCGAUCGUAACGAAGUUAACUGGCCACGUGGCGAGGUGUCCUGGUAUUAACGAAUCUUUAUCGGGGAUGGGCGGGGCGUAUGCAAUAAUUUUUUGAGCUCCAGGUAGAGCUACGGGCAGCCCCAUUAACUAAAAGGACGGGCUGCGAAGACCCUACCGACGAGCUGUACGUCUUCGUUGACCCAUUUCUCGUACCUAAUCUAGAAUCGUGUAUCAGGUAUCGAACUCCGAGAACUUCAGAGUCCUAGACCGGAUGAAUGGUGUUUGCGGGUUGUUCUGUUUUGCAUCGCAGGAGAUCCAGACCGACCCGUGCAACGUGUUAGUGCCCAUACGCCGGAGAGAAAGGUCGUGGUGGGAAGGCGAUACCUAUUUUGCGAGAGCCAGGUACUCCGUUACGGGGAGGGGGGCACGCAAUGGAUAUUGUUGUUUGAGCUUCAGGAACGUUUUGGCGUAACCGUGGAAUGACGAGGGAAUAACGAGAACGACGUUCCAAGCAGUAAGCUAACCGUAGACAGGAACAGGAGGAAUAGGAAGACUCGUUGAGGUACACACUCGAUCCAAAAGUCCAAAGCAGACGGUUACGUAGACCCCGGGAUACAUAGAAUGGAGGCGCACGUAUCCUUGCUGGUGCUUGUACGUACACGGGGAGGGGGGCACGCAAUGGACGGUUAUUUGAGCUUCAGGAAUGUUGAGACUUUGUGGAUAACGAGAGAUCGAAGACCCAGGAUACGAGUUCAGAAGUUGACGUAGACAUUGUAUCGGCGAGUGUUACUCGAGGGUCCGGACUAAUUGUUAUCGUACCCUGGAAGACGUGAGACGGAACUACGGUAUCCAAUUUCUACAAUUUCUACCAUUUCUACGUUGCCGGUGCUAAUUUUGCAACGGCUCGUGGCAUGCAAUGGACAUUGUUGUUUGAGCUUCAGGAAUGUUUUGACGUGUUUAAUGGAAUGCUAGAGUGCAGCUACAUAAAUUACAAGUUCGAUCGGUUGGGAAAGCAAAUACGUGACAGUCCAAUAGCUGACCCCAGCUUGUCGAAGGAUCAUUCAUCAUCGGUCGAGGUAAAAACGUUCAUGGCAUUUUCCGUCUUUUCGUAUCCGUGGAGAGAUAGUAUCUACGAUGUGGGGGGCCUCCGGGGAAGACAGCUCUCUUGCUUUGAGUCACAGGAAUCCGAGUCAAUGAUUACGACCGAGAGCGGGAAUAUCGUCCUCCUUGAAUGCGCAAGAAAAAUGCAAUAUGUUGACCCGAGGUAACGGAAGACCCCACCGACAGACCGGAGCGAAUUCUAAUUUCAUCCAAUACUUGUCAACAAUGUCAUCAUGGCAGAUUGGGACAACGAUUUUCUUUUGUACCGCAGACUGUACUGGAACGUGAUACAUAGCUGUUAGCAUGCACGAACGGAUCAAUUAGCCGAUCGAGAAUGAACGAGGUACGGUUCUUUGUGUCAAUUUUUUCCUUGUAUUUCUACCGUGUAGAUUUAGGGUAUAGCACGAAACACAGGAUUUCAUUCUCACGCGGAGGAACCGGAGAGUAUCCCGUUUAAUAGAAAUUCGAGGUAUUGCGAUUACUUUUUGGCAAAUUGGUCGGCAAUCCAUGGGGAGGGUCGUUGAAUUUUAAGCCGCAGGAAGAAAAAUUAACGAACCGCUGAAGCAGAACGUCAAUGAAAAGGAAGUAGAGUGAAAUUGUAUAGGAAGAGCGAAUCGAUGUAAUUUCCCUUGAAACUUAUUCCAUGUAAAGGAGAAAAAGCGGCGAUCACUUCGGGUUCGAAGUCUUCAGGUAACAGUGGAAUCACACAUUUCCGUAUUCUGAUGAUUGGUAUGAUGAACCAUUUUUUUUCAGUUUUGUCUUUAUUUCAAAGUAGGGAGGAGAGUGAGAGAAAAGUAAUUAUUUUAGACAGCAAGCAAAUUUGUGAAUUUUUUUAAGAUCUCGAAGAAAGCAUCUUGACUGCUUACGGGAAUUUAAUUUUAUCGCAAAGGUGAAUGAAUUCUAUUCGUAUUUUGUUGUUAGUUACAAUCUCUAAUGUCACCGAUAAGAGGGAGUUGUGUAAUUAUUGUUUGCGAUACAAAUGAGAAGUUCCUUCGUGAGACUGUGGAUAGUUAAAAAUUUGGGUACAAGUAUACUUAAGAACGAUAAGUCGUAACAAUGGCAUCAUACGAAGAUUUGCAAUGAGAGCGCAAGAAAAGAUUACUUUCCGCUACAAGAAAAGGAUAUUCACUAGUAGAGAAGAUUAUUGUCGAGUACUACGAGUUCUCGCGAUGGAAGUACUAUACGUCGUACAAGAAACUUCAUUAUAAAAACACCUGGGAAACGAAUAGUCUACCGAAGAUUUAUAUAUCCGAAGAUCUGCAAGUAACAAAUUUUACUCUCCACGUCGUAGUGCCAGGUAACGAAGCCUAGAGAAGACCCUCCGCAUUACAUCCAAUCUCUAUAUCUUUAACUACUAAUCUUUUUCCUUAUUUAAAUGGGCUAUGCACAUACAUUUUCGUUUGCUCCUUUGCCAAGUAUUUAAUCUCUGUACGGCGUAUUCUGUUAAUUGCUACUUUCUUUCCUUCACGACCUGUGAAAUCACUGUAUUCUAGAUUGAGCUUCACGUAAGAUUCGUUUUAACUCCUUGCGCAAGUUGAGCUCCAAGAAUAGUUGGUCGAUAUGGCUGGGACUUUGAUAACAGGGAAUCGAGCUAGCCGCUUAGAAGAAUGAGCCGCAACCCUCCAUUAUUAUAUGAGAAAAAAGAGAGAGAGAGGACUGCUUUUGUGCACUAUUAUGGAAUGAGUUCUAUUUAUAUUCGUAUAUCGGUGCUUAGUGUGUGGACCAUUGCGCUAUAAUUUGUGCAGUUUCAGUUUUGGUUUCAAAUUACGUAUAGUGUGAUGACAUUGUGCACCAAGAGAGUAUCAAGACACGUAGUUCGCGCUGUGAGUUUUUAUGCAAAAACGAACGUUUCCCUAGCCAAUUGUGAAUGUACGGAAUGUUACGAGCAAGAGGGAAUGAGUAUCCGCAAGAUUGCUGUAUAUUCGUGGCGCGCUACGUGGUGAGUUCACUUAAAAAAAGAAAAAUCAUAACUGUGAGGCGAAUCGAUAACUCGUCUCACGAUUCACGUUUGGGCCAAGAAGCAAUAUCUGUCGAGCAAAUUUGGCAAAGCUUGUAACAUUUUAUAAGAUUGGACUUUUUGUGCCGAGCGAUGACAGGACACCAUUUUUAUAUUCGUGGGAUUAUUAAUAAAUGCACGUUGGGGCGGGGGUGUGGGGGGGCACUAAUUUUCUUUCCGUAGUUUGAAGGUAUAUUCCAAGCAUGCCGAGACAUAGAUCGUUUGAGACGAAAGAAAGCCCACCUUGUCGAGCUAGUCCGCAAGUCUUUGGAAUUACGGCUUCUUCUGGAACACGUCUUGAAAAUGAUUUUACUCGACACCAAUGAUUUCUCAAGCACCGAUCAAGUUCAUUGGCAUGCUGGACUCUCUCCGAUCGCAAGGUCGAGGUGUGCUACUCGAAAGUUUACGGUGCAGCUUUCUGUGAGCCUGCUUUACGCUAACUCCUCUCGACUCGGAAUGCAUUCUCAGCCUAGGUGUUUCCAACAAGAAGUUACUUUUCUUCUUCUACUUCUUCUUCUUGUUCUUUUUCUUCUUCUCGAGAAAAUUAAUGCGGUAACGUGCGCGAUCGCUAGGACAUGUUCUCAAGAUUCGACGGUACUUGAAAACCAAGCUGUGGAGACGAAGCUUCGCAACCCGAGUUGCACAUCGAAGAAAACCUGGCACGGUUUAAGCGAGCCGUGAUCCUCUGUAGGACCGGAAAGGAAAUUUAUUAUUGCAGAUGCAGUUGCUUUAGAAUAGGAAAGCUAUUUUUUGUCGCCACUAGUACGCUAUUCGAAGAUUGAGCGAAAAGUAGUCUCGCCGGUACAAGCAUCUUGAAACUCGUAAAUAUUUGGAAGCGAUGCAAAAAUACGAAGACGAAGAGCACGAGGUUCUUUUCCAGUAGCGAAGUAAUCUGCCUGGUCGAUUAAUUGCGACGUCAAGUUUGUGGUCGAGAAAGUAACGAAUGACAAAGACCCCCCCUGGGAAAUCGGCAACAGCGAUAGAAUGUGAGUGGCAACGCCUUUUGUUCCCUUUCCUUUGCUGUAAGAUUGUUUUUAGAAUACGCUUUCCUGCGCACGAGAGCCGUUAGACUUUAGGGAAAACCUAUAAAGAAGAGGUCAAAGAGGAAAGCACGCAUCCGCGAAGGUUCCCGUUGCCGACGUGACUCGUUCCAUGCCAAUCCGCGGAGUCUGCAUGCGCUCAAUGUUCAUUGGAUUCCUGGUCGGAUCUCGUCUUGGAGUAUUGCUGCGACUCUUUUGGAUAUUCGUGCGAGGUCAACAUCCAAGGAAGGCUUCAUUUGGCAUCAACCCUUGGAAAGAUGCUCUUUGGAGUCCAGCUUUUCGUGCAGCCGAUCUUCAGGAUCCUGGGGAGAGUGGACUUCAGAGACGCAGCCAGGGAUUGACCUAGGAAGAUCUUCUGAAGAUGGUCUCUUAUCCGGGGUUCUUCUGGGUCGGACGAGAAAUCCAUUGGCGCGGUUGCGAGGGUAUUCGUCGAUGGAGUUGGCGGUCUUCCGAAGAGUCUUCUACUUCUCAAAUUCUAUGUCAAAGACGCGAGAUUCACUGGGGGGAUAGCUUUCAUUUUGGAGGACGUUCCUACGAAACUAGUUCGCCAUUCCGAAGCUUGAUACGAGCGCUCUUUUUAGAUCAAAAAGGAAUCUGCAUCGAAGAUCCGCGACAUUCAGUUCAGAAGAUUAAGGGGAGAUUUAAAAAAAUUCAUGUUUGAAUUUCAUAACAAAUUGUAGGUAUUGGAAGAUAAGCCAAGACUGACGCUGACACAGGUUCCAUAUGACAUUUUGAGAUUGAAAGCUUACAUUCGUACCCAGUUUAAAAAAAGGAAAAUGAUACAUUAAAAAAAAAGGCUAUUGAUACAGUUAAAAAAAAAGAAAUGAGUAAAAAUUAAAAAAGGAAAAAAUUUACUUAAAAAGGGGAAAAAAAAUAUUUAAACAGUCUACGAAUGAAGCUAGAAGAAUAGGGUUUAAGAUGCGACAGAUGAAAAUAACUUCUUAUUGCCGAAGAACGAAGGUGAAUCUUCACAAAUUGCAAAGAAAAAUUUGUAUACAAACUCGAUAACGAAUUAUUUACUGAAUACGCGAACGGAGAAAAGAAAAAACUGAGAAUUAAUCUUGAUGGACGGCGGCGAGGGAUCGACCUUGAAUAACAUUAAGAAGACCCAAGUGACGGCGGCGAGGGACCAUUCCUGGUGGACGGCGGCGAGGGACCAUUCCUGAUGGACGGCAGCGUGGGACCAUUCCCGGUGGACGGCGGCGUGGGACCAUUCCCGGUGGACGGCGGCGUGGGACCAUUCCUGAUGGACGGCGGCGAGGGACCUACCAUUGACUCGGAUGAUGGUGUCGUCAACCUGGUGACACGGCGGGGACGUCCGAUACGGACAAACUCCGUGACAACGGUGAACAGGACCGGUGGCAUCGAUAUCUUUCCACGGUACGUGGUACCGACGGAAUCAACUAUACCAAUGUUCCGGUUUAGAGGAUUUGGACGUCAAGUUUAUCACUUUAAAGGACGACAUCGUGACACUUUCUCGAGCUUCGUACUACUGAACUUGAGCGGACCACUCUGGAAGAUCGAGAGUAGAGAAUUAUAUCUACGGAUGCAUCGAAAGCAUUCUACGUAGAAGCAAAGAUCUAUCGUGAUGACGUAAACCAUUUUUGGAGCAACUUUAUCUUUUCGAUGCAAGUUUGGACAUCCCCGAGCACUAAACGAUGGUGCACGUUGGAAACAACGGCAUUUAUGUGAAUUGACAACAGCAGCCUAAAAAAUGGUACUAGGGCAGUCGGUGCGCGAUCUCUGCUAAUAUGCAAUGAGUUCGAUUAACGUUAUACCAUUCGGGGGACUCCAAAGUGAUACUUGUUUGGACGACACCAUCCAGAGAUGAUCACGAUGCAACGUAAACUAGAACUAAUGCACUUAAUUUCUUGGAUGGAAUUCAAAAAAUGAUGGAAACAUCUACGAUAUCGAACUUGCAUUGACGGCGGCGUGGGACUUCAUGGGAUUUGGAAAGAUUUCUUCGGACUGCGGCGUGGGACUUCGUGGGAUUUCGAAAAGUUUCGGGACUACAUCGUGGGACAUCGUGGGCUACAUCGCGGGACUUCGCGGGACUUCGCGGGACUUCGCGGGACUUUACGGGACUUUACGGGACUUCGCGGGACUUCGGGGAAGGCAGCUAAUGUACUUCAUUGAGGAGCAUCAUUUAAAUUAGUCUAGUCAAAUUCAACAAGCAAUACUUUACGACCUUAGAACUUAAAAGUAUUGAGAUUAGAACGGACUGAAAUUAUUUCAGGGUAUAUAAGAAACCUAAGAAAAAAUGCAGUUAUUGAUAUAACCCAUAUAUUAUUUAAGUUAUGCAAUUAAGAUAUUUCUGUUGUAACGAAUGUGGAUAAAAUCGUUUUUAUAUAUUAUGGAAAAUGUUAUAUAAAAUGAUAUUAAGAAAAAUAUAGGUAUUGAAAUUGAA
This is a long non-coding RNA of Orussus abietinus, 8729 nucleotides long. RefSeq lists it as uncharacterized. The record is from RefSeq and is a predicted model, not a curated record. The transcript is spliced from 3 exons. NCBI's taxonomy places the organism in Eukaryota, Metazoa, Arthropoda, Insecta, Hymenoptera, Orussidae.